UAGACUAUACUUUCAGGGAUCAUUUCUUUGGUUGGUUAGUAGAGAAAUUGCUCUGAACAUGCAGAGCAGAAACCGCAAAGAGGAGGCGCACCAUCCUCUCCUGAGCGUGUUGCUUCCCUGCAACUGCCUUUGCCAUUGAUGAUUGUUCUUUUCCUCUGCAAGAGUAAGAGGGGGAGGACACAGUCUGAAUGGU
Molecule: small nucleolar RNA, 193 nt
Filed under: Saimiri boliviensis boliviensis (Bolivian squirrel monkey)
Lineage: Eukaryota; Metazoa; Chordata; Mammalia; Primates; Cebidae
Description: Small nucleolar RNA U3 (ENSSBOG00000002402.1)
Rfam family: Small nucleolar RNA U3
About the family: Small nucleolar RNAs (snoRNAs) are involved in the processing and modification of rRNA in the nucleolus. There are two main classes of snoRNAs: the box C/D class, and the box H/ACA class.
Source: Rfam by way of RNAcentral